AUUGAGACGAGCCGAAUCAAU
This 21-nucleotide microRNA is filed under the name Glycine max (soybean). The record is from RNAcentral. Lineage: Eukaryota; Viridiplantae; Streptophyta; Magnoliopsida; Fabales; Fabaceae.